RNAcentral lists this small RNA (1359 nucleotides) under Pongo abelii (Sumatran orangutan). RNAcentral's name for it is "processed transcript". Lineage: Eukaryota; Metazoa; Chordata; Mammalia; Primates; Hominidae. The record is from RNAcentral.
AUGGAAGACUCCCAGGAUUUAAAUGAACAAUCAGUAAAGAAAACGUGCACAGAAUCAGAUGUUUCAGAAUCUCAGAAUUCCAGGUCUAUGGAAAUGCAGGACCUAGCAAGUCCUCAUACUCUUGUUGGAGGUGGUGAUACUCCAGGUAGCUCCAAACUGGAAAAAUCUAAUCUCAGCAGCACAUCAGUUACUACAAAUGGGACAGGAGGGGACAACAUGACUGUUUUAAACACAGCAGACUGGUUGCUGAGUUGCAACACCCCCUCUUCUGCAACAAUGUCUCUUCUUGCAGUCAAAACAGAGCCCUUGAACAGCAGUGAAACCACAACCACGACUGGAGAUGGAGCGCUUGACACUUUUACUGGGUCAGUAAUUACAAGUAGUGGCUACAGCCCCAGAUCAGCACAUCAGUAUUCCCCACAGCUGUAUCCUUCCAAGCCCUAUCCACACAUUCUUUCUACACCAGCAGCUCAAACAAUGUCUGCCUAUGCAGGCCAGGCUCAGUAUUCGGGGAUGCAGCAGCCAGCCGUCUACACAGCCUACUCACAGACAGGACAGCCCUACAGCCUGCCCACAUACGAUUUGGGUGUGAUGUUGCCAGCCAUCAAGACAGAGAGUGGACUUUCCCAAACUCAGUCCCCAUUACAGAGUGGUUGCCUCAGUUACAGCCCAGGGUUCUCUACCCCACAGCCAGGACAGACACCUUAUUCUUACCAAAUGCCAGGUUCUAGUUUUGCACCAUCAUCUACUAUUUAUGCAAAUAAUUCAGUUUCCAAUUCAACGAAUUUCAGUGGUUCACAACAGGAUUAUCCAUCCUAUACAGCCUUUGGCCAAAACCAAUAUGCACAGUAUUAUUCAGCAUCAACGUAUGGAGCGUAUAUGACAUCAAAUAACACAGCCGAUGGCACACCCUCUUCGACCUCUACUUAUCAGUUGCAGGAAUCUCUCCCAGGACUGACUAACCAACCAGGAGAGUUCGAUACCAUGCAGAGUCCCUCCACACCCAUCAAAGAUCUUGAUGAGAGAACCUGUAGAAGUUCUGGGUCAAAGUCCAGAGGAAGAGGCCGGAAAAAUAAUCCUUCCCCGCCUCCUGAUAGUGACCUGGAGCGUGUGUUUGUCUGGGAUUUGGAUGAAACCAUCAUUGUUUUUCACUCACUGCUCACCGGGUCUUAUGCACAGAAGUAUGGCAAGGAUCCCCCCAUGGCUGUAACCCUUGGACUCCGCAUGGAAGAAAUGAUUUUUAAUCUUGCUGAUACUCAUUUGUUUUUUAAUGAUUUAGAGGAGUGUGAUCAAGUUCAUAUAGAUGAUGUUUCCUCUGAUGAUAAUGGGCAGGACUUAAGGUGUAAGAGGAGGGGUUGA